AUUAGGAGCCACCUGGUUCUGGACCCAGCUUGGAAGUCUGGCUGUGGGUUGUCUCACAGCCCUGGGUCCCCUGGGGUUUGGACUAGAGCAUCUUGGGGUCUCCAUCCCUGCCCCUGCCGGCUGGCCCUUUGGCUGGUGCUGCAGCCAUGCCAGGAUUAAGGAAUAAACCCUCCCGGUUAGUAGAAUCCUUACUCCACCCAGUCCGCAGGACAGCCAGCCCAGGGCCGAGGGUCCCCUAGGGCUACUAUGAGUGGGAAAAUGCAAAUGGACAAGGAGCUUCAAAAGGGGACGGGACUUCAACUGACUGCAUUUGGACCCAGGCUUCUAGAGGCUUUUUUUUUUUUUUUUUUUUGGCCACACCCAUGCAUGGCAUGUGGAAGUUCCUGGGCCAGGGAUCGAACCUGCGCUGUAGUUGUAACCUGCACCACUGCUGAGGCAAUUCCGGAUCCUUAACCAGGUAGGAACUUUCAGGUUCCCAGAGGCUUAAGAAGGCUUUAGGGUUCUACCAGAAGUGGGUUUGAAAAUUCCUUUGCUACAAAUGCUCUGAAGCAAGCUAUGGCUUUCUCUCUAUCCGUCAUCCACGCAGCCAGCGCUGCCUGCUAGCAUGUUCUUGAAUGGAGCAAGCCCAGCUGGCAGAGCGUCCAAGCGCAGGUGGCUGCAGCAGCUGCCAGGCUGGGGAAGGAGCAGUCAUUCCAGGCCGGCCAGCCCUUAAGUUGUCAUCCACCAUGGGUGGGGCAGGAGCUGGAUGAGGAAGAAACUCACAAAGGGGCAUGAAUCUGCCUCCGCAGAGCCUGGACCGCCUCCCCGAGAGCAGGGAAGGGCCUGCGCCACGGGACGUACAGCCUUACAUGGAGGGUCCCAGGUCCCCAGGAAGGGGAAAUGCACAAAAGCUGAAGGGAGAGGAGAAAACUGACUGUGACAAUACAAUGAAGAAGGAACUUGGGUUGGGGGAGUCUGGGGUAUCACAAAAGAACGCCGCUUUAGAACAGGACAUGCCCAGAGUUCCAGAUUAAGAACCCAACUAGUAUCCAUGAGGAUGCGAAUUCCAUCCCUGGCCUCGCUCAGUGGGUUAAGGAUCCGGUGUUGCCGUGAGCUGUGGUGUAGGUUGCAGACUCAGCUCAGAUCUGGCAUUGCUGUGGCUGGGAUGUAGGCUGUGGCUGGGAUGUAGGCUGGCGGCUGUAGCUCCAAUUCGAUCCCUAGCUGGGAACCUCCAUAUGCCACAGGUGCAGCCCUAAAAAUACAUAGAUACAUAAAUUUUAAAAAUAAAACAGGACCUCCCCACCUCUUGAAGCA
Molecule: long non-coding RNA, 1293 nt
Filed under: Sus scrofa (pig)
Lineage: Eukaryota; Metazoa; Chordata; Mammalia; Artiodactyla; Suidae
Description: lncRNA (ENSSSCG00055015595.1)
Source: RNAcentral